GGGCGGUGGCAGCCAAGCUGGGGGGCCGCAACCGCUCCGCGCAGGGGGGGAGCCGCGGCGGAGGGAGGGGGCGCCCGGGGAAGCGGCGUGUGCCGCCGGGGAGGCGGAGGGGGAGGCUGCACGCGCAGGCACCGAGGGCGAAGUUGGCGGCGGGGGGGGAACAGGCUUGGCGUGCACGGAGAGAGCCCGGCUCCACGGGGGAGGGGGACGGCAGCAGGUGAGGGGGUGGCUGCGGAGCCCGGGGAGGAGGGAGGGGGAGCGGGGAGCGAGCCGGAGGUGCGAGGGGAUCCGGGGAGCAGGGGAGAGGCGGCGCCGCUCUGCCCCGGUGCCCCGCGUCGCUUCAGAGGGGCAUCCCCGGGCGCAGUCGCUCGUGGUCCAUCGCUCGCUUCGGCAGCGCGGAGGGUCCGGAGUCCGGCGCGGAUGCGGUGGCGGCGCCCGGGGACCCCCGCCGCGGGCAGGGCACCGCACGCUGCGCGACGCGGAGCGGAGAAGCGGCGCGAUCCCGGCGAUCCCAGGAGAAGCUGCACGGAUCCACUCGCAAAGAAAAAUCUACCUUCAGGAGUGAAGACAAACUCUCAAGACCUUCAUCUUUUUCACCGAGCCAGAUGGAGCUUUUCAAGGGCAGAUGCCGGACACACAAAUUUCAAGCAUGACAGGAAAGAGGUCCCUUCUGCUCGUUUCAUUUUGUAGGAGAAGAAAAUAAUAAAACUUCUCAUAGAUCCCUGGACUGCA
Molecule: long non-coding RNA, 732 nt
Filed under: Chloebia gouldiae (Gouldian finch)
Lineage: Eukaryota; Metazoa; Chordata; Aves; Passeriformes; Passeridae
Description: Erythrura gouldiae (Gouldian finch) lncRNA (ENSEGOG00005005132.1)
Source: RNAcentral